GGCCUUUUCAGCUGGAGAGGGGGGUGUCCACGUGCAACUGGCCACAUGCAUUUUUGCAUCUUUCUGGGAAGAGUCACUAUUUCCUGGGAACCUCAAUGUGUCCAGUGGCUUCGCCAACCUAAGAACCGAAGGGCACUGAGAGCAGAAAAUUCCUCGGCUUGGUCAUUUAAUUAUGGACUGUUUUUAUACCUGCACAGCAUUCAGAAUUAAUAACAGAGCGAGACUAUGUGUGCUGAAAAGGGAAGAUAUCCAAGCUGAUACGAUUGCAGACUCACAACAUUCUCCAUUGCCUGAAGACCAUCUUGAGCAAGGCAUGCUUAAAUUAAAGGGAGAUGUGUUUUUCGCCAAUGGAAGUAUGAAAAAGCAAGAAUCUUGUGGAAAGGUCUUAGUUUGGUUCUCCCAGAAGACUAUCCUGAGUCAAGGCAUCAAUUUUACAAGUGCUUUGAGAAAUCACCCUAGAAGACAGCAUUUGGGGGAAGCGUGAAGCCAAUAACGGAGAAAACAAAGUAGUCAUCAUUGGUUAUUGGUUUAGAGAUUUGCCUUGAGAAUGACAGAAGACAUGAGAGUGGAUGGAUAAACCAAAUGGCACCUCAGGAAAUGUCUCCUGUAUCUCCCACUGCCCCAACCUCCAGCCAGUCAUCUUAACACACCAUCAUCACCACCACCACCUCUCAGCUUUCCCAUGUGCUCGCCAUCUUCCCGAUUCGGAGAAACUAAAAGACUACACCCCUUCUCAGCAGAAAGAAGUUAGAGUAGUCCUCGCCCUAUAUCCAUCAAGACUGAGCAAUGAACAACAAAAAGGGAGGAUUUGUAACUAUAGGCCCUCCAGGACCAGUUCAACUGACCCCAUCUUGUCAACAGAGUAAGUAAGAGUGGCUUUUUAGGAACGCUUUUAGACCCCUUGUCCAGUGCAGGGCAGUUGAGACCACCAACCCAUCAACUGGGCCUUGGCAAAUACUGAAUAAGUGACCGUUUUGAUGUCAAGGAGCUAAAACCUCUACUCUCGCAUCAUGGAAAGGCCACAAUUUUGUGAACACGCAUCCUAAGAAGAAACAUGAAGCUUGACUACACUUGCACAGAUCAUCAAUUACCUCACUUAUCCUCACCUCCAAUCAUCUAUCUCCACACUUCAGACCACCCUACACUUUAUCCCAUAAAUUGUGCCCCAAGCCCUGGAUUGGGGAAGCAGAUCUGAAAGCACAUGCCCCUGUCUCCUUGCAGACCAAUGUCACAAAAUA
Diceros bicornis minor is the source of this 1238-nucleotide long non-coding RNA. RefSeq lists it as uncharacterized. The transcript is spliced from 6 exons. Lineage: Eukaryota; Metazoa; Chordata; Mammalia; Perissodactyla; Rhinocerotidae. The record is from RefSeq and is a predicted model, not a curated record.